AUCGAACACUGGCGGCAGGCCUAACACAUGCAAGUCGAGCGCAGCGGCGGACGGGUGAGUAAUGACUAGGAAUUUGCAUGGUAGUGGCGGAUAACUUACGGUAACGGGCGCUAAUACCGCAUACUAUCAGAUGAGCUUCGGUUGGAUUAGCUGGUUGGUGGGGUAAUGGCCUACCUAGGCGAUGAUCCGUAGCUGGUCUGAGAGGAUGAUCAGUCACACUGGAACAGAGAAACGGUCCAGACUCCUACGGGAGGCAGCAGUGGGGAAUAUUGGACAAUGGGCGAAAGCCUGAUCCAGCCAUGCCGCGUGUGUGAAGAAGGUUUUCGGAUUGUAAAGCACUUUAAGUGGAGAGGCGUUACCAACAGAAUAAGCACCGGCUAACUACGUGCCAGCAGCCGCGGUAAUAC
Molecule: ribosomal RNA, 407 nt
Filed under: uncultured bacterium
Lineage: Bacteria
Description: partial 16S ribosomal RNA
Rfam family: Bacterial small subunit ribosomal RNA
Source: RNAcentral